UUUGCGAAACCCAAGGUGCAUGCCGAGGGGCGGUUGGCCUCGUAAAAAGCCGCAAAAAAAUAGUCGCAAACGACGAAACCUACGCUUUAGCAGCUUAAUAACCUGCUUAGAGCCCUCUCUCCCUAGCCUCCGCUCUUAGGACGGGGAUCAAGAGAGGUCAAACCCAAAAGAGAUCGCGCGGAUGCCCUGCCUGGGGUUGAAGCGUUAAAACGAAUCAGGCUAGUCUGGUAGUGGCGUGUCCGUCCGCAGGUGCCAGGCGAAUGUAAAGACUGACUAAGCAUGUAGUACCGAGGAUGUAGGAAUUUCGGACGCGGGUUCAACUCCCGCCAGCUCCACCA
Molecule: transfer-messenger RNA, 338 nt
Filed under: Salmonella enterica subsp. enterica serovar Typhimurium
Lineage: Bacteria; Pseudomonadati; Pseudomonadota; Gammaproteobacteria; Enterobacterales; Enterobacteriaceae
Description: partial transfer-messenger RNA
Rfam family: transfer-messenger RNA
About the family: Bacterial tmRNA, also known as 10Sa RNA or SsrA, is named for its dual tRNA and mRNA-like properties.
Source: RNAcentral